This 73-nucleotide transfer RNA is filed under the name Nitrospiraceae bacterium. RNAcentral's name for it is "tRNA-Pro". Lineage: Bacteria; Pseudomonadati; Nitrospirota; Nitrospiria; Nitrospirales; Nitrospiraceae. The record is from RNAcentral.
CGGGGCGUAGCGCAGCCUGGNNACUCGCUUGGGGUGCGAGUGGUCGCCCGUUCAAAUCGGGUCGCCCCGACCA